UUCCUUCUUUACUGUUACUUUUUUGGUUCUUUCUUUUCUACUCUUCUUCUCUAUCUUUCUCCAUGUUAUUUGAGGAAAACAAUUAGGAAGGUUCUCAAUUUCUAAUUUUACACUUAGAUCUAUUUCAGAAAUGCAUUAACACAAAAUGUCUGGUGUGUUCGACUGUGUUGAUCAAGUACUGCCAUUAGAGUCCUCUUUUUAUGGUUAAAAAUUGUUGACCUGAGGAAUCAUCCAGAGACAAUAUGGUACGAAUGUGCGAGAUUGGAGGCAAAAAGGAGCGAAACGGGGAAAUUGCCAUAAAGUAGCGCCACAGGCAGCAUGGGGCGCUACCUGUGGCGCAGAAGUCAGAAUGCCAGAAAUUCCACCGCCAGGGCUAGUGCCCCACGCUAUCUUGGGUGCUGGUGACUGAAAAGUUCUCUUAGUUCGUCCGAGACAAGGUUAUUUCGGCCCAAGACUCCCCUCUCCCCAACUCGUAUAAAAGGAAGACUAAGCCUAUUUUGAGGAGGGAGACGCCACUUCGAGGGAAGAAUACACAUGAGGAACAACCGGGAGCGGGGAUAUCUCAAUUUUCUUCAUCGUUUCUUAGUAUUCUCAAUUAUUCAACACUUGUGAAUUUGUUUUGAUGUUAUCAUGAGUGGCUAAAACCCAUAGUUCUGGGGUAGUGAUUUAGCCAUGAAUAUUGUUGAUUGACGUUGACUUAACCUUAAUUAUAAAUUGCUAAUACAUGGUUAUUUUUUCAA
This is a non-coding RNA of Nicotiana tabacum (common tobacco), 740 nucleotides long. NCBI's taxonomy places the organism in Eukaryota, Viridiplantae, Streptophyta, Magnoliopsida, Solanales, Solanaceae. The record is from RefSeq and is a predicted model, not a curated record.